AAAUUCAAAACCUUAGUUUCCAAUUGCUACAAACUAAAAGCAUCAAUAAUCAAUAACCAAAAAAACAUAGUAAUUAAUUAAUAUUCUCCCUUAAAAAUAUACAAACUAGUAUCAUCAAAUAAACCAAUUCAUCUCCAACAACAUUAAAAAUAAAAUAAACCACCAAAAAAACAUAAACAAAUUUAUGUAUUACAAUUUCAUACCCUCACUCACUCACUCACUCACUCAAUCAUGUAUCUUGGCAAACCAUGCAAAUCAUUCCACCAUUUUUGGUUUUCUCUUCAAAAUCUUUGAACAAAAUUAUCAACCAUUUCUCUUUGGCGCUUGUCAUUGCAAAGAUUAACCUCCAUGUUUGAUGAUAGUUACUUACAUUACUUAGUAUUGUGAGUGAGGAUUGGAGAAGAUUAUGGGACACGCGCAUAGAGAAAAGGUUCCUUCUUCCUUCUUGUCUCCUUGAUAGAACAGAACAAGAACAGAACAAAGAUAUCACACUCUCACAUGAUGAUGUUUCAGUGAGACAAAGAAAAUGGAUCUAACUUAUAACAUCAUUAAAUAAAACAAACAACAUUGAAAGAUACUAAAAUGUUGUUGGUUACAUUAUUUAAUGACCCAUAAUAACAAAACGUGUAAAAAUGCAAACUUUUUCUCACAUAAAUCACAAUAAUAAGGAUUGACCAUUCUGGGUCUUUCUUUUUUUCAACAUGGAAAGAAAAACAAGAAAUAAAUGAAUGAAGAAGAAAUUUAAAGAGUAGAGUAGUAGUAGUAGUAAUAGUAGUAGUAGUUAGAUAUGUUAAGAUAGUAGAUGGAAUGGAAUGAAAUGAGAGAGAGAAUGGAAAGAUGGAUUUGAUGUGAGUUGAGUGGCGUGGUUCAAUUUGCAGAGAGAGAGAGACAGAGGGAAGAAGAGAAGAAGGGGUUGCGUGUGGCCGUCUUGAAAAUAUUAUUGCUGCUUACGGCAUCGACGUGUAGCAGUUGAAAAAGCUACCAUUUUCUUCCUUCUAUACUCUGUUUUUUU
This 1012-nucleotide long non-coding RNA is filed under the name Trifolium pratense (red clover). RNAcentral describes it as "long non-coding RNA (TPRA_LNC001003)". The record is from RNAcentral. Lineage: Eukaryota; Viridiplantae; Streptophyta; Magnoliopsida; Fabales; Fabaceae.